This is a non-coding RNA of Heterocephalus glaber (naked mole-rat), 5608 nucleotides long. The record is from RefSeq and is a predicted model, not a curated record. NCBI's taxonomy places the organism in Eukaryota, Metazoa, Chordata, Mammalia, Rodentia, Bathyergidae.
CCCUGGGAGGGAGGCGAGGCAGGCCCUGGCCGGAACUCGGCCCCCGGUGGGCCCCGGGUGAACCCAGCUCCUCUGGAAAGCUUCCCAGGACCCCAGCUCCCAGCACAGCUGCCCCAGCGCUCGCCCCACCAGGUCCGGUGGAAGGCUUGGAUCUCCAACAAGCAUCCACCACCACCUGACUGAGAAGAAUUGAAGAGACAGGUGCUCAACGAAAACACAGGAGGCAGAAAUAGCACUAUCCCAGGCACGAUGCACACCUCCACCCCACCUGUCCCAUGCUAAGAAUUGAACCCAGGGCCUUAGCACUGAACUACAUCCUCAGUCCUUUCUAGGGUCUUGCUCAAUCAUUAAAUUGCACUCCAACUUGAGAUCCUCCUGCCUCAGCCUCCCAGAGUGCUGGGCUUAUAAGCAUGUGCCACCACACCCAGGUUCCAGCCAGGAUGCUUAUGAGGGACCUGAGCCACAUCCUCCCUGACAGCCUCACCCCACCUCUGCCUUCUGAAUCUGCUCUCCAAAACUAGAUAAAGCCCAAGUGCUCCUUUCCCUGGAGACGGCCACCACUUGCACCCCUCCACAUACAGCACAAUCCCUCUAGCAUCCUACAGAAUGUUCUCCAGAGUUUGCUUCUGCCUUCCCAGGGACUGCUUGUACCAUUCUCUACCAUCCACAGACUGGUUUCUUAUCACUUGGUUUUCCUGCUGAGCUCCUAAGAGUGGUUCAUUCUCACUUCCUAUCACCACUCUAGGCCGUGGCUCCAUCCCCGGAUCCUCUAGGUGCCUCUCACCUUGUAUUAGUCAGUGUUUACUAGAGAAACAAAUACAACACAAGAUAUACAAAUAUAUAAGACUUAACAAGAUUGGCUUACAAUGGCCACCUACAAAGUCAGAUGUGGAAGAGUGAAGUGUCUGUCUUCGUGCUAGAGACCGAAGGAUUCAGCUGAAGGUCUGGAGCUCACUGUAGUGUCCCAUGCAAGUCCAUAUCAGGAGGCCUAUAGGUCUGUGAUGAAAGGCUGAAGCAUCUGUGCCAGAAGCUGAAGACUGCUGGAAGCCAAGGUGAAGGUGAAGACUGGAGCUCCCCUGAAAAAACAGAAGCAGAUCCGUUCUUCAUCAUUUUCCCUUUACAUUGUCCAGGUGACAAGCCAUCCUAGGGUGUGGAAUUGCUGAGCCAAUUUAGUUAAGCUUCUCUUACUCAAGUUGACUCAAUCAACCAUCACACACCUGUUCUCACCCCCUUGACUUUUCUAGUAUUGGGCUCCCCCACCCCUUAUCUGCCCACAGCUCACACAUAGCCCAUGAGAGACCUUCAUAUUUAAGCAUGAUGGGGCUCCAGUUCCCAGCCAAGGCUGUGCAUGAGCAGAACAAGGUGAUAACCAGUAACUCCCCAGAGGCUUGGACAUUUCAACUCUGGAUCUCAUGAUCAUGUGCCAUGUGUGAGCAUUAUGAUGUAGGCCAAACCUGCAAAGCCUGAAACAGUCAUAUCCAUGAGCUGUCUAAGGAAAGCAGCCCCUCCCAUGCAGAAAGCAAACUCACUUUGCCAAAUGUAGGGGUCUCAACAAGGUAGAAGGGACCCAGAUCUGUCCAAGAACACAUAAUGUGAGGGCCCAGACCAGCUGGAAUAGCUCACCAAACAAGAAAAGAAAAACCACAGGUCACAGAUGCAGGAUGGAUGGUGGUGGUAGAAGGUUGAGGGCUGGGUAGGGUCCCACCAGGUUCCAGUAACUCUGCCUUGCCCUUGCAGGCCAAGGAACUGACAGGGCUCUCUCUGUUGCUAGGACUGGGUGCUGCACCAGGCCUAGGUUGCUUACAAUUCUGCCUACAGUCUUGGAAAUAGCAGUUUUAGUAAAUUCUCCUCAAAUUCUCCAAGCUUGAUAAGAACAGCUGUUUGCUUCUGGGAUCUUGAGUUCUGUUUGUAGAUGGGAACCCUGCAUGGGACUGGCAGGGCAAAGCAAUACCCAGUGGUGCUGAGAAAACCCAAAGUCCCACACGGUGGGGGUGAAUGGGUGUGGAUUUGGCCCAGCACCCCAGGACUGGCCCCUGGUAUCCUGGACAAGUGUUACCAUGUGUACACAAACAUCCAGGAAUGAAGUUGCAAACCAGAGGAGGAGGAGGCUAAGGGAGCUUUAUUGGAAAUAAGGAGAUGGAAAAGAGCUCCUGGAUUUCCAAGUGGGGUCCUGAGUGGGUGGCCUCAUGGCUCUCAAUUCAGAGCCAAUUAUAGAAAGCGGAGCAUAGAAAUUGCUCGACUGCAUAGUGGCCUCCAAUCACAGAUGGCUCUGUGGUUUUAAAAUGACCAAUUGGAACUCAGGCUUCUAACCCAGUUCUUCAAAAUGUAGGGUUUACAGGAAGCUGGGAUUUUAUUUAUUUAUUUAUUUAUUUAUUUAUUUAUAUUUUAUUUUUGGUACCGGGGUUGAACUUGGGUCCUUGCACUUUCAAGGCAGGUGGCGGAACCACUGAGCUAAAUCCCGGGCCCUGAAGCUGAGCUCUUAGAGAAAAAAAAUGGUUAUUUUGGAUUUUAAAUUUCUCAAAAAUCUGGAGCUUAGUGGGGAGUGUACCUCCCUUUAGUAGGAACAGAUCUGUAUCCCAUGUUGCCUAAGGAAGUUCCUCCUUGGUCGAAAGUCCUACCUAGCUCACUGUGUUUUCUUUUUUCUUUUCUUUUCUUCUUUUUUUUUGAAACAAGGUCUCACUAUGCAAGUCAGGCUGGCUUUAAACUCACUAUGUAGUCUAGGCUGCCCUCCAGCUCUCAGUGAUCCUGCCGCUCAGCCUCAGCCUCCCAAAUGCUAGGAUUACAGACGCGCAGCACCACACUGGGCCUGUCUAUUCUUAUUUUAAUGCUUAUCAGUGUGGCUGAUCACUCAACUCUGUUUCAGGCCCUUCCCCUAAGUAGCUGCCUUAUUUAUACACUAAUGAUUCCUUUCAUAGUUGUUUUUUGGUGUUUUUUUUUUUUUGGUACCAGGGAUCGACCUCAGGACCUUGCGAUUGCAAGGCAGGCAACAGCGUCACUGAGCUAAAUCCCCAGCCCUUUAUAAGCUAAUGAAAUAAACUAUUUUCUACACGUGGGCCUUUGCCAUUCCUCACCAGUAUCUGGGCUCUUUUUCCUCAUCUGGGACAGAGGACGUACCAAACACUUUCCCAGCUUCCUGUGCCCAGGGAAAGGGCUUUUGCCCUAGGUCUAGCCAAUUGGAUGUUCUGCAGUUUGUUGGGUGACCAGCACUGCUAUUAUAGACAGCUGAGUUAGUUAAAAUACUGUAGGCAGUCAGACAGGGCUGGGCCUCCAAGAGAGUCAAAGCAGAAGAUAAGAACAUAUUAAACUGUGCUAGAGACACAUUUAGUUGAAGGCCAGGCUUCAAAACAAAGAAAAAUGACUACUCCCGCAUACUUCCCCUAGGGAUGAACAGCAGUGAUUCAUAUUCUAAGUAGGCAUCAGUCACCUUGAGUGGGGAACCAAAACUUCCCUAACCCAUUCCUUCCCAGAAAAUCCUUGUUUAUUCCAUGUACGCUUGCUACCUGGCUUGCUUCCCAUUUGGUUCCCCAUUUAAUCAAUAUUACCUAAGUGACUAUACUAGUAAUCUUAUUAGUUGACCAUAGUUUUGUCCCACCUCAUACCUACCUUGUGAUUUUCCAUUGGAUCAAUAUUACCUGAGUGACCAUACUUAUAAUCCUAUUGGUUGACUGUAGCUUUGUCCCACCCUGUACCCACCCCCCCACCUUGUGGCUUUGCUCUAUAAAUCUCCAUUGUUCCUAGAAUUCAUUCUUUGAUUAUAGAGGACACAAACUAGGUGAUGUGGACAUCUCCCAGGUUGAGAGUUAUAAUAUUUCCCUUAUAUUAUUUGGAGGGCCUUAUAGCAUCCCUGUAUCAUACGCCCUAUAUCACUAGGGCAAUAGAGACUCUGCUUUGGUGGUGUCUCCAAAGUCCUAGGCAAGGUUGGGGUCCCAAGAGCCCAGAUUCAGUUAUUAGUCUCCUUGAAAGUCCAAUCAGAGAAAAGUAGCAGUGAAGCAGCAAAGCAAUAGGCUCAGUAUGGCUGAGGUAGUGAUAUAGGAGAAAUAUAAUUCUCAACCUGCUAGAAGUCAGAUUAUUAUAGACAGAUGAAUUAGGCAGAAAUAUUAUAGGCAGUCAGAUAGGGCUAGGUCCUCAGGAGAGUCCAGACAAAGGUGAAACACACCACAGCUGCCAUCGGAAACACCGUUGUUGGAGACCGAACCUCAAGAUAAAGACAAGAUGACCAGACCUCCAUACUUCCUCAAAGAAUAAACACUGGGCCUAAGAGGUCUAAAUAGAUAGACAUCAGCCACCCUGGUAGGUAACCAGAGACCUCUGGACCCAUUUCCUAGGAGAAUCUUUGUUCUUUCCAUCCACGCUUGUUUCGUGACUUGUUUCCCGAUUGGACCACUAUUAGCUAAGUCACUAUAUUUGUAACCUUAUCGGAUGAUCGUGGCUGUGGCCCACAUUGUACCCAUGUGGGUUUCACUCUACAAAAUUCCCCUGUAGAGUGGAGUCCCCAGAUACCCACUCGGGUCCCCUUUUGCCUCUCAGGAGCUCUCCUAUCAAUAAAUACCUUCCUACUUUUAACCUUUGUUAUUCCUAGAAUUCAUUCUUAGAGUUUUAGAAAACACAACCUUGGCAUAUCAGACAGCUAACAGGUUGAGAGAUAUAAUAUUUCAUAUUUCUUUUUUGGGGGGAGUACCAGGGAUUAAACUCAGGACCUUGCACUUUCGAGGCAGGCGAGGCACCACUGAGCUAAAUCCCCAGCCCUUAUAAUAUUUUAUAUUUCAUCUCUGAUAUUAGUUCCUAUAUGAAGAUGUGCUGAGUUCAUGUGAUCCCAGUGCUUGGGAGGCUGAGGCAGGAGGAUUGCCCCAAGUUCAAGGCCAGCCUGGGCUACAUAGUGAGUUCAAGGCCACCCUGACUAUAUAAUGAGACCCUAUCUCAAAAAACAAAACAAAAUAAAAUAUUCAAUUUUGUUUUAAAAAAAAAGUGAUUAAGUUUCUUACUUCAGCCUUGGAAACCCUCAGAUCCAACCAGGUUACAUAGCCAAACUAGGAAGGAAGAAGGGGAAAGCCCUGUCACUGGGGGACUGACAAGAACUAUAGGUGUCUAGGGCCAGGGAUUAGCUCAGUGGCAUAGCGCCUGCCUAGCAAGUGUGAGGUCCUGAGUUCGAUCCUUGGUACCAAAAAAAAAAAGAACUAUAGGUGUCUAUAGAAGAAGAAUUAGUAUAGUUAGAAACAGGGGGCCGGGGAUUUAGCUCAGUGGUUUUGCCAUCUGCCUUGCAAGCAAAAGGGCUUGAGUUCGAUCCCCAGUACAAAAACAAAAAAACAAAAAAAUAGAAACAGAGGAGCUGAAAGUCACUCACUUCCCUCCAUUUAACUGUAAACAGCACCCUACAGUUAUCCCUGCUUCUGUUAUACUAAGAGAAGUAGAAAAUAAAAUAACAAAAGCAGAGCACUGAUGGCACCAAGAGAGUUUCAGUGGGAGGCACCUAAAGCCUAAGGACACUGAGGUAUCUGGCCUUGAAUUCUGAAAGACCUGAGUUAUCAGCCCUCUUUUCUCUUUUCUCUUUUUCUUGUUGCUGCUGUCACCUUUCCUGUGAUCUUCAAUAAACGUAGCUACUUGUUACUUA